This 89-nucleotide non-coding RNA is filed under the name Chromera velia. The record is from RNAcentral. Lineage: Eukaryota; Chromeraceae.
GUUUCCCUUUUUUCCCUCUCUCUCUCGCUUUCUUUCUCUCUUUUUCUCUCUCUCUCUCUCUUCCUUAAAACGGCAGGAAGGAGACUCAA